GAACGCUGGCGGCAUGCCUUACACAUGCAAGUCGAACGGUAACAGGUCUUCGGAUGCUGACGAGUGGCGAACGGGUGAGUAAUACAUCGGAACGUGCCUAGUAGUGGGGGAUAACUACUCGAAAGAGUAGCUAAUACCGCAUGAGAUCUACGGAUGAAAGCAGGGGAUCGCAAGACCUUGUGCUACUAGAGCGGCUGAUGGCAGAUUAGGUAGUUGGUGGGAUAAAAGCUUACCAAGCCGACGAUCUGUAGCUGGUCUGAGAGGACGAUCAGCCACACUGGGACUGAGACACGGCCCAGACUCCUACGGGAGGCAGCAGUGGGGAAUUUUGGACAAUGGGCGAAAGCCUGAUCCAGCAAUGCCGCGUGCAGGAUGAAGGCCUUCGGGUUGUAAACUGCUUUUGUACGGAACGAAAAGCUUUGGGUUAAUACCCUGGAGUCAUGACGGUACCGUAAGAAUAAGCACCGGCUAACUACGUGCCAGCAGCCGCGGUAAUACGUAGGGUGCAAGCGUUAAUCGGAAUUACUGGGCGUAAAGCGUGCGCAGGCGGUUUUGUAAGACAGAGGUGAAAUCCCCGGGCUCAACCUGGGAACUGCCUUUGUGACUGCAAGGCUAGAGUACGGCAGAGGGGGGUGGAAUUCCGCGUGUAGCAGUGAAAUGCGUAGAUAUGCGGAGGAACACCGAUGGCGAAGGCAACCCCCUGGGCCUGUACUGACGCUCAUGCACGAA
This 729-nucleotide ribosomal RNA is filed under the name Comamonas sp. RNAcentral describes it as "bacterial SSU rRNA". It matches the Rfam family "Bacterial small subunit ribosomal RNA", at positions 31 to 757 of the family's 1533-position model. Lineage: Bacteria; Pseudomonadati; Pseudomonadota; Betaproteobacteria; Burkholderiales; Comamonadaceae. The record is from RNAcentral.